AAAAGAAAUCAAACCCAGAAAAUUCGAUAUCUCUCUGGUCACGUUUAUUGAAAUCUCAUCAGAAGAUCAUCUUCAUCACCCGAUCAACGCCCAAGAUAGUGUAUUUUAAAGAAGAAUUUGAUGAAUGAGUCCCAAAAACGGUAGGGACCAUGAGAACGGCGUCAGGUGCGAGAAGAGGAAGAAGUCUAUUCUUCCGAAGAUUUUUGGAUCGAGGCGAUGCGGUAAAGAGGAGGAUGCGUCGCCUAUCAUGGACAACAGAGGAGACGACGACGCCGUUCUUCACGAUUUGGAAAGACGAAUCACUUCCCGGAAGAAACCCUUCUCCGACAAUCCUCCGAUGAUACGGAAGACUUUCUCAG
Tarenaya hassleriana is the source of this 359-nucleotide long non-coding RNA. RefSeq lists it as uncharacterized. The transcript has 3 exons. The record is from RefSeq and is a predicted model, not a curated record. NCBI's taxonomy places the organism in Eukaryota, Viridiplantae, Streptophyta, Magnoliopsida, Brassicales, Cleomaceae.